This 463-nucleotide ribosomal RNA is filed under the name uncultured bacterium. RNAcentral describes it as "partial 16S ribosomal RNA". It matches the Rfam family "Bacterial small subunit ribosomal RNA", at positions 28 to 507 of the family's 1533-position model. The record is from RNAcentral.
GACGAACGCUGGCGGCGUGCUUAACACAUGCAAGUCGAACGGUGAACCUCUUCGGAGGGGUUCAGUGGCGAACGGGUGAGUAACACGUGGGCAACCUGCCCCCGGCUCUGGGAUAACUCCAAGAAAUUGGGGCUAAUACCGGAUGUUCACCGCUUCCCGCAUGGGUGGUGGUGGAAAGGGUUUCCGGCUGGGGAUGGGCCCGCGGCCUAUCAGCUUGUUGGUGGGGUAGUGGCCUACCAAGGCGACGACGGGUAGCCGGCCUGAGAGGGUGACCGGCCACACUGGGACUGAGACACGGCCCAGACUCCUACGGGAGGCAGCAGUGGGGAAUAUUGCGCAAUGGGCGGAAGCCUGACGCAGCGACGCCGCGUGGGGGAUGACGGCCUUCGGGUUGUAAACCUCUUUCAGCAGGGACGAAGCGCAAGUGACGGUACCUGCAGAAGAAGCACCGGCCAACUACGUG